GGUAGGGGGAUGGAAGUAGAAGGAACAUGGGCUUAAGACAGAAAGAAAAUCAGGGAUCCCUGGGUGGCGCAGCAGUUUGGCGCCUGCCUUUGGCCCAGGGCGCGAUCCUGGAGACCCGGGAUCGAAUCCCACAUCGGGCUCCCGGUGCAUGGAGCCUGCUUCUCCCUCUGCCUGUGUCUCUGCACCUCUCUCUCUCUCUCUCUGUGACUAUCAUAAAUAAAUUUAAAAAAAAUUAAAAAAAAAAAGACAGAAAGAAAAUCAGCCUUGGAAUAGAAAAUACCAGAGCAGAAGAAGAGUUUUGAAAUGCCCUUGGCCAGAUAUUCCCAAUAUCUUUUUGGAAUGAAGAUACCGGUAAGUUCCAGGGGCUCCGGGCCAGAUGGUGCGCGCUCACGGAAAGAGCUGCUGCGGCUGCAAGUACCGGGUCCCCGGUGUCAGAAAAGCCCCACGUGUGAAUCAACAGGCUUUGCAUCUCUGCUCUCCAAGGGUCUGCUCUGUCAGCAAGUGGUCUGAAAGCCAGGAAAUUGUGUUAUCGGCCGCAUGGCGACCGUCCUGUACAUUUUCUUUAUAAUUUCCUUUUUAGGGAGAGGGAGCCAAGCAUUGCCACCAAACAAGGACCAUUUAUGGACUACUCAGUCGCAUUUGCGAAGAGCUGCUGCGGCGGCCUCGUGAUCCUAAGCGUAAACCUUAGCCCAUCUCAGCCAAGAGCACAGGCUCAGCAUUCAGGAGAGCAGAAAAAAAUGAAAGCCGAAAGCUGAAGCCCGAGUUCUGCACAGACGGCUGUAUGGUGGCUAAUUUAGAAGGGAAAUUGCAACAUCUCCAGUGGUGGCAUUCGAUUUAUCAUACCCAGCUUGUCCAAAGACACGAAAAAGCUCCUUUGUGCUUGGAUCUUAAAUUCCCCAACAGAAAUUUCUGUUAUUUUUCUUGUAGGUUUUUGAAAUAAAGACAAUUCUUAAGGAA
This is a long non-coding RNA of Canis lupus familiaris (dog), 957 nucleotides long. RefSeq lists it as uncharacterized. The record is from RefSeq and is a predicted model, not a curated record. The transcript has 2 exons. NCBI's taxonomy places the organism in Eukaryota, Metazoa, Chordata, Mammalia, Carnivora, Canidae.